GAUGAACGCUGGCGGCGUGCCUAAUACAUGCAAGUCGAGCGAACAGACGAGGAGCUUGCUCCUCUGACGUUAGCGGCGGACGGGUGAGUAACACGUGGAUAACCUACCUAUAAUACUGGGAUAACUUCGGGAAACCGGAGCUAAUACCGGAUAAUAUAUUGAACCGCAUGGUUCAAUAGUGAAAGACGGUUUUGCUGUCACUUAUAGAUGGAUCCGCGCCGCAUUAGCUAGUUGGUAAGGUAACGGCUUACCAAGGCAACGAUGCGUAGCCGACCUGAGAGGGUGAUCGGCCACACUGGAACUGAGCCACGGUCCAGACUACUACGGGAGGCAGCAGUAGGGAAUCUUCCGCAAUGGGCGAAAGCCUGACGGAGCAACGCCGCGUGAGUGAUGAAGGUCUUCGGAUCGUAAAACUCUGUUAUUAGGGAAGAACAAAUGUGUAAGUAACUAUGCACGUCUUGACGGUACCUAAUCAGAAAGCCACGGCUAACUACGUG
Molecule: ribosomal RNA, 497 nt
Filed under: uncultured bacterium
Lineage: Bacteria
Description: partial 16S ribosomal RNA
Rfam family: Bacterial small subunit ribosomal RNA
Source: RNAcentral